AUAUCAACAUUUAGAAUUUCUCAACAUUGCUGGUUGUCCAAAUCUUGUAAAGAAGAUGGGGAAUGAUGGGCUAUCCCUUCUGGCUAUUGAGUUUGCAAAAAUGGAAGAGGAGAUAUCAUUAGGUGAAGAACGACUCCAUGAAUUGGCGCCUCCAACGAAUUCAAGCAAUGGGAGCACUGCAUUACAAUUAUUGAAUCUUCAAAGUUGUUUCCAAUCAGAAACAAAUUUCUUUCCAA
Molecule: long non-coding RNA, 236 nt
Organism: Juglans microcarpa x Juglans regia
Lineage: Eukaryota; Viridiplantae; Streptophyta; Magnoliopsida; Fagales; Juglandaceae
Exons: 3
Source: RefSeq, a predicted model, not a curated record